RNAcentral lists this long non-coding RNA (1296 nucleotides) under Heterocephalus glaber (naked mole-rat). Its description in RNAcentral is "lncRNA (ENSHGLG00000036216.1)". Lineage: Eukaryota; Metazoa; Chordata; Mammalia; Rodentia; Bathyergidae. The record is from RNAcentral.
GCUAGAGAUGACUGAAAGCCUACAGGAGGAUGUGUGUAGGAUGCAGACAAGCACAAUGCGGUUAUUCAUAUGAGACUUGAGCAUCUGUGGAUUUGGCUAUCCACAAGGGUCCUAGAAUCAGUUCCUUGCGGAUACCGAGGGAUGACUGGAUUAGGAGGCCAGGCAGGAGGACAGAGUUCUGAAACAGAGCCAUGCAGGGCAAUCCCAUAGGAGAUAAAGUUAGAAAACACUGUAAAUUAUGGUGCUGGGAGCUGUGAUUUAGACUCAGAACUGAUGCCUAAGCCCUUGUUGGCCCCAUCCCAGACUCCCAGAUGAUAGGCAGCUUUGAUGAGAUGGGUUGAUUCUGUUCUCUCCAGGGAGGGCUUUGUGGGACUCAUAACCAAAUAAGUGUAAUAUCUUUAUCUUCAGAACCCAAGAUCAAAAUGUAAGUUUUAAUGUGGACAUGAACAUAUAAAGAAGACCAAAUAGAAUAUUUAAAAUCAGGGCAUCCAAUGUAUUCAGAACUUUAAAAAGGUACAAAUGCUUUCUGAUCCCAAAGUUCCUGAUAUUUUAUCUUUAGCCACCUCUAAUAAGGUACCCCCUCCACUGGCCCAUGGAAGGAGAAACAGGUUUUUGAAAAAUCUCUGGGUACCAGGACAGCAGCAAGGUCCAAGUGGGCAGAAUGAAGGGCAUGGGAUAGGUAGCCAGGGAGUCCUGAUUCCUGGACAAUCAUGGGACCCUCUGUGUGACUUGGUUUCCAUCCUCUAGGAACAAGACCCCUGUCCGCCAUGCACCUCUGAGGAGAUUAUAGGAUGGAUGAAAGAGAGCCUCUUGAAAGGACCAGCUCCCACUCCAGAUAAUUGCUAGCUAAGUACCAAGGGCAUGUGGCUCAGUGUGACAAAAAGACAUCAGCCUGAUUUCAAGUUCCCAAGGAGCAGACACAAGCUACAAUAAGGCUUCCAAGCUCAAGAGACUGGUAUAAAAAGUCAGCCGAAGCUGUAACCAGAAGUAAUAACAAGGCAAACGUGGGCUGGAAACAGGAGGCCCACAGCCUUCAGGGCUGCUGGGAAACAAGCUACAGAAUGGACACAUUUGGCCCAGUGUAGUCUGAAUCCCUGAAGAAUCAUGGAGAAGAAAUGGAGGAGCAAGCAGCCAGCAGUAGAGAGGAAGUCGCUGAGCUCUGAGGAGGUUGCGAAUCCAGUCACACAGGCAGAUAGUGGGACACACGGACCUCUCUGGGGAAAGGGUGAUCUCAGAGCCUUUGUGGGCCUGGUGGCCAAGCUCAUCUCAGGUCUCCUCAAAAGUGGCCUAUGAAAG